Molecule: ribosomal RNA, 415 nt
Filed under: uncultured archaeon
Lineage: Archaea
Description: partial 16S ribosomal RNA
Rfam family: Archaeal small subunit ribosomal RNA
Source: RNAcentral
GCGCAGCAGUCGCGAAAACUCCACAAUGUGGGAAACCACGAUGGGGGAACUCCCAGUGCGCACACUUUGUGUGCGCUGUUCUCCUGCCUAAAAAGCAGGAGAAGUAAGGGCCGGGUAAGACGGGUGCCAGCCGCCGCGGUAAUACCGGCCGCCCGAGUAGUGACCACUAUUAUUGGGCCUAAAGCGUCCGUAGCCGGUUUUGUAAGUUUCUGGGUAAAUCCCACAGCUUAACUGCGGGAAUUCCAGAAAUACUGCAGAGCUAGGAGCCGGGAGACGCAGAAGGUACUCCUGGGGUAGGGGUGAAAUCCUAUAAUCCUAGGGGGACCACCAGUGGCGAAGGCGUUCUGCGAGAACGGGCUCGACGGUGAGGGACGAAAGCUGGGGGAGCGAAUCGGAUUAGAUACCCGCGUAGUCC